This 513-nucleotide ribosomal RNA is filed under the name uncultured microorganism. Its description in RNAcentral is "bacterial SSU rRNA". It matches the Rfam family "Bacterial small subunit ribosomal RNA", at positions 9 to 513 of the family's 1533-position model. The record is from RNAcentral.
GAGUUUGAUCGUGGCUCAGAUUGAACGCUGGCGGCAGGCUUAACACAUGCAAGUCGAACGGAGAUAGUGUGCUUGCACAUUAUUUUAGUGGCGAACGGGUGAGUAAUGCCUAGGAAUCUGCCCAUUAGCAGGGGAUAACGUGUGGAAACGCACGCUAAUACCGCAUACGCCUACGGGGAAAGGCAGGGACUCUUUUAGAGCCUUGCACUAAUGGAUGAGCCUAGGUCGGAUUAGCUAGUUGGUGGGGUAAAGGCCGUACCAAGGCGACGAUCUGUAGCGGGUCUGAGAGGAUGAUCCGCCACACUGGAACUGAGACACGGUCCAGACUCCUACGGGAGGCAGCAGUGGGGAAUAUUGGACAAUGGGGGCAACCCUGAUCCAGCCAUGCCGCGGUGUGUGAAGAAGGCCUUUUGGUUGUAAAGCACUUUAAGCGAGGAGGAGGCUACCCUGACUAAUACUCAGGAGUAGUGGACGUUACUCGCAGAAUAAGCACCGGCUAACUCUGUGCCAGCG